RNAcentral lists this ribosomal RNA (460 nucleotides) under Acanthamoeba genotype T4. RNAcentral describes it as "SSU rRNA". It matches the Rfam family "Eukaryotic small subunit ribosomal RNA", at positions 741 to 1095 of the family's 1831-position model. The record is from RNAcentral. Lineage: Eukaryota; Discosea; Longamoebia; Acanthamoebidae.
GCCCAGAUCGUUUACCGUGAAAAAAUUAGAGUGUUCAAAGCAGGCAGAUCCAAUUUUCUGCCACCGAAUACAUUAGCAUGGGAUAAUGGAAUAGGACCCUGUCCUCCUAUUUUCAGUUGGUUUUGGCAGCGCGAGGACUAGGGUAAUGAUUAAUAGGGAUAGUUGGGGGCAUUAAUAUUUAAUUGUCAGAGGUGAAAUUCUUGGAUUUAUGAAAGAUUAACUUCUGCGAAAGCAUCUGCCAAGGAUGUUUUCAUUAAUCAAGAACGAAAGUUAGGGGAUCGAAGACGAUCAGAUACCGUCGUAGUCUUAACCAUAAACGAUGCCGACCAGCGAUUAGGAGACGUUGAAUACAAAACACCACCAUCGGCGCGGUCGUCCUUGGCGUCGGUCUUUCGGGGCCGGCGCGGGGGCGGCUUAGCCCGGUGGCACCGGUGAAUGACUCCCCUAGCAGCUUGUGAGA